CUGGGAGAGAAUCCCAAGGUGUAUGAGAUAACUCUGGUUAAGGAACUCGCAAAAUAGCACUGUAACUUCGGGAGAAGGUGUGCCUCUAUUAGGUGACAUGACACGCUCAUGGAGCCGAAUGAGGUCGCAGUGACCAGGUGGUAGCGACUGUUUACUAAAAACACAGGACUCUGCUAAGUCGCGAAGACGACGUAUAGGGUCUGACGCCUGCCCGGUGCCGGAAGGUUAAAAGGAGGGGUCAGCCGCAAGGCGAAGCUCUGAAUCGAAGCCCCGGUAAACGGCGGCCGUAACAAUAACGGUCCUAAGGUAGCGAAAUUCCUUGUCGGGUAAGUUCCGACCUGCACGAAUGGCGUAACGACUUCCAUACUGUCUCAACCAGGGACUCAGCGAAAUCUACGUAGCGGUGAAGAUGCCGUCGACCUGCGGCAAGACGGAAAGACCCCGUGAACCUUUACUAUAGCUUGACACUGAGGUCCGGUCUGGGCUGUGUAGCAUAGGUGGGAGGCUUUGAAGUCGGAGCGCUAGCUUCGGUGGAGCCAUCGUUGAAAUACCACCCUGCUCAGUCUGGACUUCUAACCUGCGCCCCUGAACCGGGGCGAGGAACACUGUCUGGUGGGUAGUUUGACUGGGGCGGUCGCCUCCCAAAAUGUAACGGAGGCGCGCAAUGGUUCCCUCAGGCUGUUUGGAAAUCAGCCGUCGAGUGCAAGAGCAUAAGGGAGCUUAACUGCGAGACCGACGGGUCGAGCAGGUGCGAAAGCAGGUUCUAGUGAUCCGGUGGUCCCGUGUGGAAGGGCCAUCGCUCAACGGAUAAAAGGUACUCCGGGGAUAACAGGCUUAUCUCCCCCAAGAGCUCAUAUCGACGGGGAGGUUUGGCACCUCGAUGUCGGCUCAUCGCAUCCUGGGGCUGGAGCAGGUCCCAAGGGUUUGGCUGUUCGCCAAUUAAAGCGGUACGCGAGCUGGGUUUAAAACGUCGUGAGACAGUUUGGUCCCUAUCUGUCGUGGGCGCUUGGAAACUUGAGAAGCCCUGCUCUUAGUACGAGAGGACCAGAGUGGACGGACCCCUGGUGUACCAGUUGUCUUACCAAAGGCAUUGCUGGGUAGCUAUGUCCGGACGGGAUAACCGCUGAAAGCAUCUAAGCGGGAAGCCCCCUUCAAGAUUAGGUUUCCCGGGUCGUAAGACCCCUUAAGGCCCCGAGAAGACUACUCGGUUGAUAGGUUGGUUGUGGAAGCUCAGUGAAUGGGUGUAGCAAACCAAUACUAAUGCACCGUGCGGUUUUAUC
RNAcentral lists this ribosomal RNA (1280 nucleotides) under metagenome. Its description in RNAcentral is "bacterial LSU rRNA". It matches the Rfam family "Bacterial large subunit ribosomal RNA", at positions 1668 to 2925 of the family's 2925-position model. The record is from RNAcentral.